CAAAGGGGAUUACCGGUGGCGGAUGGGCAUGCGGCGCAUUAGCUAGUCGGCGGGGUAACGGCCCACCGAGGCGACGAUGCGUAGGGGUUCUGAGAGGAAGGUCCCCCACACUGGUACUGAGACACGGACCAGACUCCUACGGGAGGCAGCAGUGAGGAAUAUUGGUCAAUGGGCGCGAGCCUGAACCAGCCAAGUCGCGUGAGGGAUGGCGGUCCUACGGAUUGUAAACCUCUUUUGCCGGGGAGCAAGCGUGCGUUCGUGAACGCGCGUCGAGAGUACCCGGAGAAAAAGCAUCGGCUAACUCCGUGCCAGCAGCCGCGGUAAUACGGAGGAUGCGAGCGUUAUCCGGAUUUAUUGGGUUUAAAGGGUGCGUAGGCGGGAUGCCAAGUCAGCGGUAAAAAUGCGGUGCUCAACGCCGUCGAGCCGUUGAAACUGGCGUUCUUGAGUGGGCGAGAAGUAUGCGGAAUGCGUGGUGUAGCGGUGAAAUGCAUAGAUAUCACGCAGAACUCCGAUUGCGAAGGCAGCAUACCGGCGCCCUACUGACGCUGAGGCACGAAAGCGUGGGUAUCGAACAGGAUUAGAUACCCUGGUAGUCCACGCAGUAAACGAUGAAUGCUAACUGUCCGG
This 627-nucleotide ribosomal RNA is filed under the name uncultured bacterium. Its description in RNAcentral is "bacterial SSU rRNA". It matches the Rfam family "Bacterial small subunit ribosomal RNA", at positions 202 to 827 of the family's 1533-position model. The record is from RNAcentral.